UGGGAUGCUAACUCCCCUACCCUUGGACUC
This 30-nucleotide non-coding RNA is filed under the name Homo sapiens (human). Lineage: Eukaryota; Metazoa; Chordata; Mammalia; Primates; Hominidae. The record is from RNAcentral.